UCUAUGGAGAGGACGCUGCAGAGGAUCUAGACGACGUGACGUAUGCAGUCGUCGUCACAAAACCCAGAAAAAACAAAGAUGAUGAUGAUGAAUCCUCAUUUCAACCUGUUUACUAUACUUUGACGAUGAGUAAAACUCCACAUGAUCUCCAACAGGAAUCCGGAUUAUUAAACUCCGCAGCGACUCCGAGGUCCACAGCAGCCGAACACUCAGAGCAGGAACCUCUCUACGCUCCGGUCCUGAAGGUAAUGACACUCACAGCAGCAACUUCCUCUUAAUCUCACUAAUCACUCUUUUAUAAGUGAUGUUGAACUCUCCACACUACAGCUGUAUGUAUGCUCCUUUAAAUGUCAAAAAUCAGCCAAGAACACAAAAUGUAUUAGUUACGGUGUGGUACAGGACACUGGUCCAGACUUUAGUUGACAGAGAUGAGGGAGUUAAAAACUAGGGUUGAUCCACUGCAGCGUUGAUGAGUAGACAAGUUGCAGGUGUGCA
Molecule: long non-coding RNA, 495 nt
Organism: Sebastes umbrosus (honeycomb rockfish)
Lineage: Eukaryota; Metazoa; Chordata; Actinopteri; Perciformes; Sebastidae
Exons: 3
Source: RefSeq, a predicted model, not a curated record